GCUGGGCGUGGUGGCGCACGCCUGUAGUCCCAGCUACUUGGGAGGCUGAGGCAGGAGAAUCGCUUGAACCCAGGAGGCAGAGGUUGCAGUGAGCCAAGAUUGCGCCACUGCACUCUAGCCUGGGCAACAGAGCAAGACUCUGACUCAA
This 148-nucleotide signal recognition particle RNA is filed under the name Homo sapiens (human). RNAcentral's name for it is "Metazoan signal recognition particle RNA". It matches the Rfam family "Metazoan signal recognition particle RNA". Rfam says of the family: The signal recognition particle (SRP) is a universally conserved ribonucleoprotein. The record is from Rfam by way of RNAcentral. Lineage: Eukaryota; Metazoa; Chordata; Mammalia; Primates; Hominidae.